Molecule: long non-coding RNA, 427 nt
Organism: Xyrauchen texanus (razorback sucker)
Lineage: Eukaryota; Metazoa; Chordata; Actinopteri; Cypriniformes; Catostomidae
Exons: 3
Source: RefSeq, a predicted model, not a curated record
UAGACUGCCCUCAAAUUGCACAUCUUCUCUAUAAAAAUUAUGACAAUAAAGAUCACAAACAAGCCAGACAGUUGGACUCCUUUUCUACUUUAUAGCUUUAACUGACCUUUCCUUGAGAAUAUAUCAUUUCUACAAGCAAAUAUAAGAACAAACAACUGACCCUCCACCUACAGUACUGUGGUCACAAAAACAGGUGAAAUUUGUCAUUUCUGUGCUAAAUGGAAUUAACGGAAAAAUAAUGAAAGGUUUUCCAAACAGUCCCGCCGUCUGCCAUCUGGUUGGACAAAAAGGUAUGAAAGUGGUCCAUCAUCUCCUGAUACGUUCGGCUUGUUGGUGUGGAUGCAAAUGUAAGCAACAUGCAGCAGAUGCCAGCAAAAAAAAGGAAACAACAACUGAGGCUGUCGGGUGGCUCUGUGCCCGUUAUCCA